AUUGAACGCUGGCGGAAUGCUUUACACAUGCAAGUCGAACGGCAGCACGGGUGCUUGCACCUGGUGGCGAGUGGCGAACGGGUGAGUAAUAUAUCGGAACGUACCCAGUAAUGGGGGAUAACUAGCCGAAAGGUUAGCUAAUACCGCAUACGCCCUGAGGGGGAAAGCGGGGGACCGUAAGGCCUCGCGUUAUUGGAGCGGCCGAUAUCUGAUUAGCUAGUUGGUGGGGUAAAGGCCCACCAAGGCGACGAUCAGUAGCUGGUCAGAGAGGAUGAUCAGCCACACUGGAACUGAGACACGGUCCAGACUCCUACGGGAGGCAGCAGUGGGGAAUUUUGGACAAUGGGCGCAAGCCUGAUCCAGCCAUUCCGCGUGAGUGAAGAAGGCCUUCGGGUUGUAAAGCUCUUUCGCAAGGGAAGAAAACUUACCUUUUAAUAGAGGGUGAGGUUGACGGUACCUUGAUAAGAAGCACCGGCUAACUACGUGCCAGCAGCCGCGGUAAUACGUAGGGUGCGAGCGUUAAUCGGAAUUACUGGGCGUAAAGCGUGCGCAGGCGGUUUUUGUAAGUCAGAUGUGAAAUCCCCGGGG
This 588-nucleotide ribosomal RNA is filed under the name uncultured bacterium. RNAcentral describes it as "bacterial SSU rRNA". It matches the Rfam family "Bacterial small subunit ribosomal RNA", at positions 28 to 608 of the family's 1533-position model. The record is from RNAcentral.